RNAcentral lists this ribosomal RNA (19 nucleotides) under Neoapaloxylon madagascariense. RNAcentral's name for it is "partial 26S ribosomal RNA". The record is from RNAcentral. Lineage: Eukaryota; Viridiplantae; Streptophyta; Magnoliopsida; Fabales; Fabaceae.
GAUGCGACCUCAGCUCAGG